GAUGAACGCUGGCGGCGUGCCUAAUACAUGCAAGUCGAACGAAACUUCUUUAUCACCGAGUGCUUGCACUCACCGAUAAAGAGUUGAGUGGCGAACGGGUGAGUAACACGUGGGCAACCUGCCCAAAAGAGGGGGAUAACACUUGGAAACAGGUGCUAAUACCGCAUAACCAUAGUUACCGCAUGGUAACUAUGUAAAAGGUGGCUAUACUACCGCUUUUGGAUGGGCCCGCGGCGCAUUAGCUAGUUGGUAGGGUAAAGGCUUACCAAGGCAAUGAUGCGUAGCCGAAUUGAGAGGUUGAUGGGCCACAUUGGGAGAGAGACACGGCCCAAACUCCUACGGGAGGCAGCAGUAGGGAAUCUGCCACAAUGGGCGAAAGCCUGAUGGAGCAACGCCGAGUGGGUGAAGAAGGUCUUCGGAUCGUAAAGCCCUGUUGUUAGAGAAGAAAGUGCGUGAGAGUAACUGUUCACGUUUCGACGGUAUCUAACCAGAAAGCCACGGCUAACUACGUG
Molecule: ribosomal RNA, 512 nt
Filed under: uncultured bacterium
Lineage: Bacteria
Description: partial 16S ribosomal RNA
Rfam family: Bacterial small subunit ribosomal RNA
Source: RNAcentral